UAAAACUAAACUAAAUCAGACCCAAACCAAAAAUUCUGAACUGAAUUAGACUAUUUAUAAUGGCCUAUUGAAAAAAUUAAUUCAAUAGUUAAAUGCUUACAAUGGGAUAUUGAAUAAAGAAAUGAAUUCUAACUAGAUUUAAUGGUGUUGAACCGAUUCUGUUGAAUUGUUAACAAUGAAUCCCUCAUUGCCACUUGUCAUUAAAUAAUUGGAGACAGAAAUUGUGGAGAGAGUUAAAUAUAGAUAGGACAUGUGUUAUUCUUUUAUUUGUUACUGAAAUUUUUGAUAUA
This 290-nucleotide small RNA is filed under the name Arabidopsis thaliana (thale cress). RNAcentral describes it as "ATSL154010". The record is from RNAcentral. Lineage: Eukaryota; Viridiplantae; Streptophyta; Magnoliopsida; Brassicales; Brassicaceae.